CGCAGCCGCGGUAAUUCCAGCUCCAAUAGCGUAUAUUAAAGUUGUUGCAGUUAAAAAGCUCGUAGUUGAAUUUCGGGGCUAGUAGGCUGGUCAUGCCUCUGGUAUGUACUGGUCUCACUGAUUCCUCCUUCCUGAUGAACCGUAAUGCCAUUAAUUUGGUGUUGCGGGGAAUUUGGACUGUUACUUUGAAAAAUUAGAGUGUUUAAAGCAAGCUAACGCUUGAAUACACUAGCAUGGAAUAAUGAAAUAGGACGUUCGAUCCUAUUUUGUUGGUUUCUAGGAUUGACGUAAUGAUUAAUAGGGAUAGUUGGGGGCAUUAGUAUUCAAUUGUCAGAGGUGAAAUUCUUGGAUUUAUUGAAGACUAACUACUGCGAAAGCAUUUGCCAAGGAUGUUUUCAUUAAUCAAGAACGAAAGUUAGGGGAUCGAAGACGAUCAGAUACCGUCGUAGU
Molecule: ribosomal RNA, 450 nt
Filed under: uncultured Glomus
Lineage: Eukaryota; Fungi; Glomeromycota; Glomeromycetes; Glomerales; Glomeraceae
Description: SSU rRNA
Rfam family: Eukaryotic small subunit ribosomal RNA
Source: RNAcentral